GAUCAUGGCUUAGGAUGAACGCUGGCGGCGCGACUUAAGACAUGCAAGUCGAACGGAACUUAGUUGAAUGUUUACAUGAGACGAAGUUUAGUGGCGGACGGGUGAGUAACACGUGAGCAACCUGCCUUCAAGACUGGGACAACAGAGGGAAACUUCUGCUAAUACCGGAUAUGACCACAGUAUCGCAUGAUACAGGGGUGAAAGGAGCAAUCCACUUGAAGAUGGGCUCGCGGCUGAUUAGCUAGUUGGUGAGAUAGAGGCCCACCAAGGCGACGAUCAGUAGCCGAACUGAGAGGUUGAUCGGCCACAUUGGGACUGAGACACGGCCCAGACUCCUACGGGAGGCAGCAGUCGGGAAUAUUGCACAAUGGGGGAAACCCUGAUGCAGCGACGCCGCGUAAAGGAAGAAGGUCUUCGGAUUGUAAACUUUUGUCGACAGGGAAGAAGAAAGUGACAGUACCUGUGGAGGAAGCCCCGGCUAACUACGUG
RNAcentral lists this ribosomal RNA (489 nucleotides) under uncultured bacterium. RNAcentral describes it as "bacterial SSU rRNA". It matches the Rfam family "Bacterial small subunit ribosomal RNA", at positions 15 to 507 of the family's 1533-position model. The record is from RNAcentral.